Molecule: long non-coding RNA, 256 nt
Organism: Culex pipiens pallens (northern house mosquito)
Lineage: Eukaryota; Metazoa; Arthropoda; Insecta; Diptera; Culicidae
Exons: 2
Source: RefSeq, a predicted model, not a curated record
CUCUGCCGAAAACAAAACCAACAAAAAUCCAAAUUUGCAGAAAUUUUCGCAAAUUAAGCUUGCGAGAAAGAAGAAGAAAAACGAGUUUUGCGAGAAUAACUUCCGCAAAUUCUUAGAAGAUCAAAAGUUCUAGCGAAAACCACCACUAAACUUCUAGUUCGGUCCAGUUGGAAAAUCUACAUCAAUUGAGCUGCGGCCAGAAAGCACAACACUCUGGCCCGAGGAAACCAACCCUGCUUUUUUUUGGAGCACCAAA